RNAcentral lists this ribosomal RNA (423 nucleotides) under Stenotrophomonas maltophilia. RNAcentral's name for it is "bacterial SSU rRNA". It matches the Rfam family "Bacterial small subunit ribosomal RNA", at positions 18 to 439 of the family's 1533-position model. The record is from RNAcentral. Lineage: Bacteria; Pseudomonadati; Pseudomonadota; Gammaproteobacteria; Lysobacterales; Lysobacteraceae.
CCUGGCUCAGAGUGAACGCUGGCGGUAGGCCUAACACAUGCAAGUCGAACGGCAGCACAGAGGAGCUUGCUCCUUGGGUGGCGAGUGGCGGACGGGUGAGGAAUACAUCGGAAUCUACUCUGUCGUGGGGGAUAACGUAGGGAAACUUACGCUAAUACCGCAUACGACCUACGGGUGAAAGCAGGGGAUCUUCGGACCUUGCGCGAUUGAAUGAGCCGAUGUCGGAUUAGCUAGUUGGCGGGGUAAAGGCCCACCAAGGCGACGAUCCGUAGCUGGUCUGAGAGGAUGAUCAGCCACACUGGAACUGAGACACGGUCCAGACUCCUACGGGAGGCAGCAGUGGGGAAUAUUGGACAAUGGGCGCAAGCCUGACCAGCCAUACCGCGUGGGUGAAGAGGCCUUCGGGUUGUAAAGCCCUUUUGU